CAUGCUGUAACUCGCUUUGUCCUUCUUACAGAUUACCUCCUUUUCGCAGGCCGCGUCUAUCUGCAUAUCUGCUUUGACACAUUUAAAUCUUCCACAAUACUUCAUUAAAAUAAUGGAAUAAUGAGUUGAUGAUGUGCUACAAACACAAUGAACAUCAGCCAUAGUGUCACAUUAGUAAGUCACCAGGAGUGACUCAGAUUCUACGGUGGGGUAAAGUCUUCUCUGACUGUAGACAGUUACACGCUGUCAUUGGUCGAGAUGUGAUAUUUGGUUCAGUUUGGUGGAAUUGCAUUUUACUGAUUUUCACUUUAAAGAUUUGCUUUACGUGUUUCUGUCGUUUCUGCAAACCCUAAGAUUUUCAUUUAACAAUCUUGUCAUGUUUGCUUGAAAAUGCUUCAUCAGCUUAUUAUUAUUAUUAUUAUUAUUAUUAUUAUUAUUAUUAUUAUUAUUAUUAUUAUUGAAAACAAACAGGUGAGACCUUGCACACUACUUUAUUUAUUUGUUUGCUUGUUACAUUUACCACUUUACCAUUCGACUGUCUGCUAAGCCGUGUUUCUUUAGGCACCACCAUGCUGUACAUAAUGAAUAUUAAUUACUUCAUUUCUAAUUAGUUUUUCAUUAAACAGACAUUGUUCUUAAAGAGGGCUUCUUCCUCAUCGUAGUCUUUAUAUCUUUGCUUAAACUGUUUGGUCUUGGCCCUGCUUUGUUUUAGUUUCUGGACACAAUUAAAUAAGAAAACAGUCAGCAUCAAAGUUCAUUAUUAUCAGGCUGCUGCUGUUGUUGUUGUUGUUCUUGUUUUUGUUGUUGUUUUAAAAGUGUAUUUCAGUAGGCUACAACUGAGGAUGGUGGUCCCAAACCCAGAUGCCCCUGAAAAUCACCAGCAGGCCAUACUGAUGGCAACCAAAGAGGCUCGUCACUACAGGGAAAGCAGGAUGGUCUUCCCUACGCCUCCACUGGAGUUGGUGAACCAGUCAACUGUCCUGGUCCACUCAGAGAAGCUCCUUGUGAAUGAGGGGAUCCCCACACCGACACGUGAACAGUAUCUGGGACAGCUGGUCCUUUUGGUGCCAUUUGGACAAUAUGAAAAUGCACCGUUCCACUGGCUUGUUUCAAAUGAUGUAGGAUACAUGAAAUAGUAAGCAUUACGGCACAGCAUAGCCCUCAGGCAAAGGAAAGUUUUCUAAAGCCCUAAAUCCACUGGAUGUGACAUUAAAUUUUUCAAUCAACUAGAAUAGUCAAAAAGUAUCAAAGAACAAUCCAAUAUGUGGGAGUCACUAUCCAGCAUCAUGUGAAGGCGGGACUUCCUUUUCUGCCACAUGGUCACAGGAGCACAUGGUCUGAGGAAAGCACCACCAAGUGUGAUCCCUCAUCAUGGCCAGGUGAUGAUGCUGAACUGGAAGCUGCAAGUCAAGCUGUGGAAAGCAAGUGAGAUAAAGCGAGAAUUUGCUCAAGACCCAAGAGCCACAGGUAUGGGCCAACCCUAGCAGUCCAUCUGUUAGAUUGCCUUCUCAGGAUUCCACCAGACAAGCCCAGUCAGCCUGAUCCCACUGUCCAGCCCAAGGAGUCAGAGCCCAUUGUCUGGCCCAAGGAGUCAUAGCCCACUGUCCGGCCUGAGGAGUCGGAGCCCACUGUUCAUUCAAACCUACAAGGACAUCAGUGAUCUGUGCAAGAAGCGAAGUGUCCUAGAGGUGACAGUUGUGUGGGUAAGGGACGGAACGUGCACCUCUACAAGUCUGGCUACCACCACCGGGUUUGACUCACUUUACUUAGUAUGUAACAUCUGUGACAUGUCCAACUGGUACACAAUGCUGACUGAAGUCCUGAGCUGUGUACCAUGUACCAAGGCAGCAAAGAGUGGAGAAGGUAGCACAGUGGGUCAGUG
Molecule: long non-coding RNA, 1882 nt
Organism: Hemibagrus wyckioides
Lineage: Eukaryota; Metazoa; Chordata; Actinopteri; Siluriformes; Bagridae
Exons: 4
Source: RefSeq, a predicted model, not a curated record